GAUGAACGCUGGCGGCGUGCCUAAUACAUGCAAGUCGAGCGAACAGACGAGGAGCUUGCUCCUCUGACGUUAGCGACGGACGGGUGAGUAACACGUGGAUAACCUACCUAUAAGACUGGGAUAACUUCGGGAAACCGGAGCUAAUACCGGAUAAUAUAUUGAACCGCAUGGUUCAAUAGUGAAAGACGGUUUUGCUGUCACUUAUAGGUGGAUCCGCGCCGCAUUAGCUAGUUGGUAAGGUAACGGCUUACCAAGGCAACGAUGCGUAGCCGACCUGAGAGGGUGAUCGGCCACACUGGAACUGAGACACGGUCCAGACUCCUAAGGGAGGCAGCAGUAGGGAAUCUUCCGCAAUGGGCGAAAGCCUGACGGAGCAACGCCGCGUGAGUGAUGAAGGUCUUCGGAUCGUAAAACUCUGUUAUUAGGGAAGAACAAAUGUGUAAGUAACUAUGCACGUCUUGACGGUACCUAAUCAGAAAGCCACGGCUAACUACGUG
This 497-nucleotide ribosomal RNA is filed under the name uncultured bacterium. RNAcentral's name for it is "partial 16S ribosomal RNA". It matches the Rfam family "Bacterial small subunit ribosomal RNA", at positions 28 to 507 of the family's 1533-position model. The record is from RNAcentral.